This 82-nucleotide microRNA precursor is filed under the name Trichobilharzia regenti. RNAcentral describes it as "mir-3492 microRNA precursor family". It matches the Rfam family "mir-3492 microRNA precursor family". Lineage: Eukaryota; Metazoa; Platyhelminthes; Trematoda; Strigeidida; Schistosomatidae. The record is from Rfam by way of RNAcentral.
AACCUUCUGUAUCCGUGUUGAGAUUUCGUCAGCGAUCAACCCGCUAGAACUGACUGAUACAACUCCCCAGAUAAGUGAACUG